ACCCCCGUAGCUCAGUUGGACAGAGCAACGGAUUUCUAAUCCGUCGGUCGCAGGUUCAAGUCCUGCCGGGGGUGCCA
This 77-nucleotide transfer RNA is filed under the name Kiritimatiellia bacterium. RNAcentral's name for it is "Kiritimatiellae bacterium (sediment metagenome) tRNA-Arg". It matches the Rfam family "tRNA". Rfam says of the family: Transfer RNA (tRNA) molecules are approximately 80 nucleotides in length. Their secondary structure includes four short double-helical elements and three loops (D, anti-codon, and T loops). Lineage: Bacteria; Pseudomonadati; Kiritimatiellota; Kiritimatiellia. The record is from RNAcentral.